This is a long non-coding RNA of Centruroides sculpturatus (bark scorpion), 130 nucleotides long. RefSeq lists it as uncharacterized. The record is from RefSeq and is a predicted model, not a curated record. Lineage: Eukaryota; Metazoa; Arthropoda; Arachnida; Scorpiones; Buthidae. The transcript is spliced from 2 exons.
CUUUUUAUUACGCAAGUUAAAACGAACGUCGCAAUUCGCAGCAACUUUGGAGGAAAUUAAAACCCGAAGGAAGUUUCAAGUGCUGAGCGCGAUAUAAAGGUUUCGAUGGUCAGAUGUAAACAUCUCAGAA